RNAcentral lists this ribosomal RNA (1443 nucleotides) under Alkalicoccobacillus gibsonii. RNAcentral's name for it is "bacterial SSU rRNA". It matches the Rfam family "Bacterial small subunit ribosomal RNA", at positions 142 to 1351 of the family's 1533-position model. The record is from RNAcentral. Lineage: Bacteria; Bacillati; Bacillota; Bacilli; Caryophanales; Bacillaceae.
GAUAACUCCGGGAAACCGGGGCUAAUACCGGAUAACAUCUAGCACCUCCUGGUGCCGGAUUAAAAGAGGGCUUCUUGCUCUCACGAUGAGAUGGGCCCGCGGCGCAUUAGCUAGUUGGAGAGGUAACGGCUCCCCAAGGCGACGAUGCGUAGCCGACCUGAGAGGGUGAUCGGCCACACUGGGACUGAGACACGGCCCAGACUCCUACGGGAGGCAGCAGUAGGGAAUCUUCCGCAAUGGACGAAAGUCUGACGGAGCAACGCCGCGUGAGUGAUGAAGGGUUUCGGCUCGUAAAGCUCUGUUAUGAGGGAAGAACACGUACCGUUCGAAUAGGGCGGUACCUUGACGGUACCUCAUCAGAAAGCCACGGCUAACUACGUGCCAGCAGCCGCGGUAAUACGUAGGUGGCAAGCGUUGUCCGGAAUUAUUGGGCGUAAAGCGCGCGCAGGCGGCCUUUUAAGUCUGAUGUGAAAUCUUGCGGCUCAACCGCAAGCGGCCAUUGGAAACUGGGAGGCUUGAGUACAGAAGAGGAGAGUGGAAUUCCACGUGUAGCGGUGAAAUGCGUAGAUAUGUGGAGGAACACCAGUGGCGAAGGCGACUCUCUGGUCUGUAACUGACGCUGAGGCGCGAAAGCGUGGGGAGCAAACAGGAUUAGAUACCCUGGUAGUCCACGCCGUAAACGAUGAGUGCUAGGUGUUAGGGGUUUCGAUGCCCGUAGUGGGAAACUGGGAGGCUUGAGUACAGAAGAGGAGAGUGGAAUUCCACGUGUAGCGGUGAAAUGCGUAGAUAUGUGGAGGAACACCAGUGGCGAAGGCGACUCUCUGGUCUGUAACUGACGCUGAGGCGCGAAAGCGUGGGGAGCAAACAGGAUUAGAUACCCUGGUAGUCCACGCCGUAAACGAUGAGUGCUAGGUGUUAGGGGUUUCGAUGCCCGUAGUGCCGAAGUUAACACAUUAAGCACUCCGCCUGGGGAGUACGGCCGCAAGGCUGAAACUCAAAGGAAUUGACGGGGGCCCGCACAAGCAGUGGAGCAUGUGGUUUAAUUCGAAGCAACGCGAAGAACCUUACCAGGUCUUGACAUCCUUUGACCACUCUGGAGACAGAGCUUCCCCUUCGGGGGCAAAGUGACAGGUGGUGCAUGGUUGUCGUCAGCUCGUGUCGUGAGAUGUUGGGUUAAGUCCCGCAACGAGCGCAACCCUUGACCUUAGUUGCCAGCAUUUAGUUGGGCACUCUAAGGUGACUGCCGGUGACAAACCGGAGGAAGGUGGGGAUGACGUCAAAUCAUCAUGCCCCUUAUGACCUGGGCUACACACGUGCUACAAUGGAUGGUACAAAGGGUUGCGAAGCCGCGAGGUGAAGCCAAUCCCAUAAAGCCAUUCUCAGUUCGGAUUGUAGGCUGCAACUCGCCUGCAUGAAGCUGGAAUUGCUAGUAAUCGCGGAUCA